Molecule: ribosomal RNA, 248 nt
Filed under: Clostridioides difficile
Lineage: Bacteria; Bacillati; Bacillota; Clostridia; Peptostreptococcales; Peptostreptococcaceae
Description: partial 16S ribosomal RNA
Rfam family: Bacterial small subunit ribosomal RNA
Source: RNAcentral
CAUCCCAAUGACAUCUCCUUAAUCGGAGAGUUCCCUUCGGGGACAUUGGUGACAGGUGGUGCAUGGUUGUCGUCAGCUCGUGUCGUGAGAUGUUGGGUUAAGUCCCGCAACGAGCGCAACCCUUGUCUUUAGUUGCCAUCAUUAAGUUGGGCACUCUAGAGAGACUGCCAGGGAUAACCUGGAGGAAGGUGGGGAUGACGUCAAAUCAUCAUGCCCCUUAUGCUUAGGGCUACACACGUGCUACAAUG